CAGGAUUUUUAGUAUUAUGUUUACUUAUCCUUAUAUUUAUCAAAUAUAUAUUUUUGUGGGUUGAGAGAAAUACAAUUUAUUGUGGAAAUCCACAUCACUUUAUCCUGCAACUGGUCACCUCAAUCUUAGCUCCCUUGUCAAUCAUUUUUAUGAACUAUGUCAUUUGAUUCCUGGCAGUCGGCACAGACAAAGCAUUCAGGAAAAGGAGAAAUGAAACAGUGGGGGUCUUGCAUUAAGAGC
This is a non-coding RNA of Pelobates cultripes (western spadefoot toad), 240 nucleotides long. NCBI's taxonomy places the organism in Eukaryota, Metazoa, Chordata, Amphibia, Anura, Pelobatidae. The record is from the annotation of a GenBank genome assembly.